This 292-nucleotide ribosomal RNA is filed under the name uncultured prokaryote. Its description in RNAcentral is "partial 16S ribosomal RNA". It matches the Rfam family "Bacterial small subunit ribosomal RNA", at positions 505 to 796 of the family's 1533-position model. The record is from RNAcentral.
GUGUCAGCCGCCGCGGUAAUACGGAGGGUGCGAGCGUUAAUCGGAAUUACUGGGCGUAAAGCGCAUGCAGGUGGUUAGUUAAGUCAGAUGUGAAAGCCCGGGGCUCAACCUCGGAGCUGCAUUUGAAACUGGCUGACUAGAGUACUGUAGAGGGGGGUAGAAUUUCAGGUGUAGCGGUGAAAUGCGUAGAGAUCUGAAGGGAUACCGGUGGCGAAGGCGGCCCCCUGGACAGAUACUGACACUCAGAUGCGAAAGCGUGGGGAGCAAACAGGAUUAGAAACCCCCGUAGUCC